RNAcentral lists this ribosomal RNA (235 nucleotides) under uncultured bacterium. RNAcentral describes it as "partial 16S ribosomal RNA". It matches the Rfam family "Bacterial small subunit ribosomal RNA", at positions 99 to 334 of the family's 1533-position model. The record is from RNAcentral.
CGAACGGGUGAGUAACACGUGAGCAACCUGCCCCGAAGACCGGGAUAACAGUGGGAAACCGCUGCUAAUACCGGAUACCCCCACCGAAUCACAUGGUUUGGUGAGGAAAUGGAUUCCGCUUCGGGAGGGGCUCGCGGCCUAUCAGCUUGUUGGUGGGGUAACGGCCUACCAAGGCUUCGACGGGUAGCUGGUCUGAGAGGACGAUCAGCCACACUGGGACUGAGACACGGCCCAG